RNAcentral lists this ribosomal RNA (253 nucleotides) under uncultured bacterium. RNAcentral's name for it is "partial 16S ribosomal RNA". It matches the Rfam family "Bacterial small subunit ribosomal RNA", at positions 524 to 776 of the family's 1533-position model. The record is from RNAcentral.
UACGUAGGGCGCAAGCGUUGUCCGGAAUUAUUGGGCGUAAAGAGCUCGUAGGCGGUUUGUCGCGUCUGCUGUGAAAACUCGAGGCUCAACCUCGGGCUUGCAGUGGGUACGGGCAGACUAGAGUGCGGUAGGGGUGACUGGAAUUCCUGGUGUAGCGGUGGAAUGCGCAGAUAUCAGGAGGAACACCGAUGGCGAAGGCAGGUCACUGGGCCGCAACUGACGCUGAGGAGCGAAGGCAUGGGGAGCGAACAGG